GGUAGCGUGGCCGAGGGGUCUAAGGCGCUGGAUUUAGGCUUGAGUCUCUUCGGGGGCGUGGGUUCGAAUCCCACCGCUGCCA
This 82-nucleotide transfer RNA is filed under the name Danio rerio (zebrafish). RNAcentral describes it as "tRNA-Leu (TAG) (tRNA-Leu-TAG-95-1)". It matches the Rfam family "tRNA". Rfam says of the family: Transfer RNA (tRNA) molecules are approximately 80 nucleotides in length. Their secondary structure includes four short double-helical elements and three loops (D, anti-codon, and T loops). Further hydrogen bonds mediate the characteristic L-shaped molecular structure. tRNAs have two regions of fundamental functional importance: the anti-codon, which is responsible for specific mRNA codon recognition, and the 3' end, to which the tRNAs corresponding amino acid is attached (by aminoacyl-tRNA synthetases). tRNAs cope with the degeneracy of the genetic code in two manners: having more than one tRNA (with a specific anti-codon) for a particular amino acid; and 'wobble' base-pairing, i.e. permitting non-standard base-pairing at the 3rd anti-codon position. Lineage: Eukaryota; Metazoa; Chordata; Actinopteri; Cypriniformes; Danionidae. The record is from Rfam by way of RNAcentral.